This 419-nucleotide unclassified non-coding RNA is filed under the name uncultured Entoloma. Its description in RNAcentral is "sequence contains ITS2". The stretch from base 1 to 154 matches the Rfam family "5.8S ribosomal RNA". Lineage: Eukaryota; Fungi; Basidiomycota; Agaricomycetes; Agaricales; Entolomataceae. The record is from RNAcentral.
AACUUUUAGCAACGGAUCUCUUGGCUCUCGCCUCGAUGAAGAACGCCGCGAAAUGCGAUAAGUGAUGUGCAUUGCAGAAUUCAGUGAAUCAUCGAAUCUUUGAACGCACCUUGCGCUCCUUGGUAUUCCGAGGAGCCUGCCUGUUUGAGUGUCGUGAAAUUCUCAACCUCUCUAGCUUUUAUUAGCUGGUUAGGCUUGGAUUGUGGGAGUUGCUGGCUUCUCAGAUGUCAGCUCUUCUUAAAUGCAUUAGCAAAACCUUUGCUGACCAUCAUUGGUGUGAUAAUUAUCUAUGCCAUUGAAAAUCAGCUCCUUCUUGGAGGGUUUAGCUUCUAAUAGUCCCCUGGGACAAUUUAUGACUAUUUGACCUCAAAUCAGGUAGGACUACCCGCUGAACUUAAGCAUAUCAAUAAGCGGAGGCU